AUUGAACGCUGGCGGCAUGCCUUACACAUGCAAGUCGAACGGCAGCACGGGAGCUUGCUCCUGGUGGCGAGUGGCGAACGGGUGAGUAAAGCAUCGGAACGUGCCCUGAAGUGGGGGAUAACGUAGCGAAAGUUACGCUAAUACCGCAUAUUCUGUGAGCAGGAAAGCAGGGGAUCGCAAGACCUUGUGCUUUAGGAGCGGCCGAUGUCGGAUUAGCUAGUUGGUGAGGUAAAGGCUCACCAAGGCGACGAUCCGUAGCGGGUCUGAGAGGAUGAUCCGCCACACUGGGACUGAGACACGGCCCAGACUCCCACGGGAGGCAGCAGUGGGGAAUUUUGGACAAUGGGCGCAAGCCUGAUCCAGCCAUGCCGCGUGAGUGAAGAAGGCC
This 388-nucleotide ribosomal RNA is filed under the name uncultured bacterium. RNAcentral describes it as "bacterial SSU rRNA". It matches the Rfam family "Bacterial small subunit ribosomal RNA", at positions 30 to 416 of the family's 1533-position model. The record is from RNAcentral.